CCUACGGGUGGCAGCAGUGAGGAAUAUUGGUCAAUGGGCGCGAGCCUGAACCAGCCAAGUCGCGUGAAGGAAGACUGCGCCACGCGUCGUAAACUUCUUUUAUCAGGGAACAAAGGGAGCCACGUUUGGCUUUUUGAGUGUACUCUAAGAAAAAGCAUCGGCUAACUCCGUGCCAGCAGCCGCGGUACUACGGAGGAUUCGAGCGUUAUCCGGAUUUAUUGGGUUUAAAGGGUGCGGAGGCGGUCCGGGAAGUCAGGUGUGAAAGGCUGGGGCUCAACCCCAGAGGAGCCGUUGAGACUGGCGGUCUUGAGUAGGCGGGAGGUAGGCGGAAUGCGCGGUGUAGCGGUGAAAUGCAUAGAUAUCGCGAAGAACUCCGAUUGCGAAGGCAGCGUAC
RNAcentral lists this ribosomal RNA (394 nucleotides) under uncultured bacterium. RNAcentral describes it as "partial 16S ribosomal RNA". It matches the Rfam family "Bacterial small subunit ribosomal RNA", at positions 338 to 729 of the family's 1533-position model. The record is from RNAcentral.